This 1830-nucleotide long non-coding RNA is filed under the name Mus spicilegus (steppe mouse). RNAcentral's name for it is "lncRNA (ENSMSIG00000008260.1)". The record is from RNAcentral. Lineage: Eukaryota; Metazoa; Chordata; Mammalia; Rodentia; Muridae.
CUACCACCUGCCAGGUGGGCAGCAGGUGGCACCACUGGGCUGCAGAUUAGGACCCAGCUUUCCUUAUGGUGGCAGGAGAGGGACAUGCUGGUGGCUGGAAUCAUGUAGGAUGUGGGAUAAUCUCCUACCGAGGCAGGCAGCUUGAACUCAGGGAGACUGAACCCCAGGAGGAGGUGAAGGAACUGAAGAGCACUGGAAGAGGUGGGAGAGAGAAGAGGGAGGGGGGACACUGGGUGAGGAAAUGGAGAGGAUGAAGCAGGAGAGGAGUGGGCUGAGAGGGACGAGGAAGAGAAGAGGGACCGGAAAUGAACAGAGCAGAGCAGAAAGACACAGGGAGGGGACCACAUGGCCAUCACAUAGGCUCGUAUCACCAGCCAUAGCUCCCUUUACCUGCCAACCCAGGACUCAGUCAGGACAGACAGACAGUGCUUGAGCUAUGCCUCCUUGGUCCCUCCUUUCUUUCUUCAGACCAGCCAUCUGAAGGUUCCUGGAUUGGAGGGCUCUACAGACAAGCAGAGUUCACCACCUCACAUGAAGUGCAGGGAGCAAGGAGUCUGUAACUUAGUCUGCUAGAGCCAAAACUCCAGAAGCAGGGACCCCAGUGCAUGGACAAGACCUGCCUUUGCUAUGUGGUUCACAGGCCUCAGCAGAGACAUCAGAGACUGCUGACUAGCUGGUCCCUAAGACGGAUAGUCACUCUGCAUCCACACCAGAUUCCGAGUUCUGAAAUCACUUUGACGGUGCAAGGCCUGUGGGUGCACCAGAGAACCCGACAACCUGCCAAAAUCCUCCGGGCUUCCGCAGAGCAGCCCAGAGGCUCCAAGGAAUGACAUCAUCCCUUCUCAACAAGUAGCUAGAGCAAGAAGAUGAUACUGUGAGCCCUGCCCUUGGGAAGCUUCCAGAGGAGCAACACCCAGGAGCAAAGAGGACCCAGGUACAAAGGCCAGGCUACCACACAGCACAGUGGAGAUGACAUCCACAGCAGUGAGAAUGGUGGUCCCCGUUCAGCCUCCGAGCUAAGCCGUUUGAUCCUUGAGGCUGUGGAGUAGGCAGGGUACUAGCUUCAGAGACCUAACACCACUCAUCCCCAGUGGUGGGCAAGAAUCCAAACAGAGGUCCACCAGGUCCAUGCACUUGCUCUUUCAUCUCAAUUCUUGGCCACCCUAAGUUCUAGGUAGGGGCUUGUCACUUCCCUUUCAGAAAAGCCUUGAGGGAUCCCCACUACCAAUAACAUAGCCCUUCCCGGUGAGGCUCCCCUCAAACCACAGCCGAGGAAGCAACCACUGUCUUCCACCCACACCGGCCACAUCUUAGGUUUCACCCUGGAGUUUCCCAAGUCUCCUCUGUGCUCCGAAUGAACCGCAUGCCCCAUUUUACAGAUAAGAAACCAGAGGGUUAAGAAUGUUAAGUAACUAGCCCAAGGUCACGCAGCUGGGAAACAAAUGAGCCUGGCUAGAACUCGGGUCAUUAGCAUGCCCAUUUGUGUUCCAGGCAAUUAGGGAAGGGGAAUUAACGACCCGUGCUGCUAAUGGUCCCAGGGAGAAAGGUUCCAGAGUUGACUAAGGCACCUGGGCCUUGAGAAAUGGAUGGGUCUGCACAGUCAGAGCAGGAAGAGUGAGAAGAAUAUAGAAAGUGCCGAAAGGGAGUUAGUGGUGGGCUUGUCCAAACUAGGCUUUGUCCCAAAUUGGGACACGGUAAGAGAAGCCAUAGAAUGGGAGUCACUCCGUGUGUCCCCCUAACUUGUUGCACAACAUUAAGUGAGCCCCUUCCCUCUUUUGAUGACUUUUCUAUAUAUAAAAGACUAAUUAAGCCUGGGUGGCUUCUUGGGUC